AACGAACGCUGGCGGCAGGCCUAACACAUGCAAGUCGAACGCCGUAGCAAUACGGAGUGGCAGACGGGUGAGUAACGCGUGGGAACCUUCCCAAUGGUACGGAAUAGCUCAGGGAAACUUGUGGUAAUACCGUAUAAGCCCGAAAGGGGAAAGAUUUAUCGCCAUUGGAUGGGCCCGCGUAGGAUUAGCUAGUUGGUGAGGUAAUGGCUCACCAAGGCGACGAUCCUUAGCUGGUCUGAGAGGACGACCAGCCACACUGGGACUGAGACACGGCCCAGACGCCUACGGGAGGCAGCAGUGGGGAAUAUUGGACAAUGGGCGAAAGCCUGAUCCAGCCAUGCCGCGUGAGUGAUGAAGGCCUUAGGGUUGUAAUGCUCUUUUGGCGGGGAAGAUAAUGACGGUACCCGCAGAAUAAGCCCCGGCUAACUUCG
Molecule: ribosomal RNA, 431 nt
Filed under: uncultured Hyphomicrobiaceae bacterium
Lineage: Bacteria; Pseudomonadati; Pseudomonadota; Alphaproteobacteria; Hyphomicrobiales; Hyphomicrobiaceae
Description: bacterial SSU rRNA
Rfam family: Bacterial small subunit ribosomal RNA
Source: RNAcentral